GUGGGGAAUAUUGGGCAAUGGGCGCAAGCCUGACCCAGCAACGCCGCGUGAAGGAAGAAGGCUUUCGGGUUGUAAACUUCUUUUACCAGGGACGAAACAAAUGACGGUACCUGGUGAAUAAGCCACGGCUAACUACGUGCCAGCAGCCGCGGUAAUACGUAGGUGGCGAGCGUUAUCCGGAUUUAUUGGGUGUAAAGGGCGUGUAGGCGGGACAGCAAGUCAGAUGUGAAAACCAGAGGCUCAACCUCUGGCCUGCAUUUGAAACUGUUGUUCUUGAGUGUCGGAGAGGUAAUCGGAAUUCCGUGUGUAGCGGUGAAAUGCGUAGAUAUACGGAGGAACACCAGUGGCGAAGGCGGAUUACUGGACGAUAACUGACGCUGAGGCGCGAAAGCGUGGGGAGCAAACAGGAUUAGAAACCCCGGUAGUCC
Molecule: ribosomal RNA, 428 nt
Filed under: uncultured bacterium
Lineage: Bacteria
Description: partial 16S ribosomal RNA
Rfam family: Bacterial small subunit ribosomal RNA
Source: RNAcentral